UCUUCAUUUAUGUCUGUAAAGAUGGUUUUUCUAGAAGAGUUUGCUUUUCUUUUGUUUUGACAUGAAUCCUUUGCAG
This 76-nucleotide microRNA precursor is filed under the name Populus euphratica (Euphrates poplar). The record is from RNAcentral. Lineage: Eukaryota; Viridiplantae; Streptophyta; Magnoliopsida; Malpighiales; Salicaceae.